RNAcentral lists this ribosomal RNA (1489 nucleotides) under Lactiplantibacillus pentosus. RNAcentral's name for it is "bacterial SSU rRNA". It matches the Rfam family "Bacterial small subunit ribosomal RNA". Lineage: Bacteria; Bacillati; Bacillota; Bacilli; Lactobacillales; Lactobacillaceae. The record is from RNAcentral.
GACGAACGCUGGCGGCGUGCCUAAUACAUGCAAGUCGAACGAACUCUGGUAUUGAUUGGUGCUUGCAUCAUGAUUUACAUUUGAGUGAGUGGCGAACUGGUGAGUAACACGUGGGAAACCUGCCCAGAAGCGGGGGAUAACACCUGGAAACAGAUGCUAAUACCGCAUAACAACUUGGACCGCAUGGUCCGAGUUUGAAAGAUGGCUUCGGCUAUCACUUUUGGAUGGUCCCGCGGCGUAUUAGCUAGAUGGCGAGGUAACGGCUCACCAUGGCAAUGAUACGUAGCCGACCUGAGAGGGAAAUCGGCCACAUUGGGACUGAGACACGGCCCAAACUCCUACGGGAGGCAGCAGUAGGGAAUCUUCCACAAUGGACGAAAGUCUGAUGGAGCAACGCCGCGUGAGUGAAGAAGGGUUUCGGCUCGUAAAACUCUGUUGUUAAAGAAGAACAUAUCUGAGAGUAACUGUUCAGGUAUUGACGGUAUUUAACCAGAAAGCCACGGCUAACUACGUGCCAGCAGCCGCGGUAAUACGUAGGUGGCAAGCGUUGUCCGGAUUUAUUGGGCGUAAAGCGAGCGCAGGCGGUUUUUUAAGUCUGAUGUGAAAGCCUUCGGCUCAACCGAAGAAGUGCAUCGGAAACUGGGAAACUUGAGUGCAGAAGAGGACAGUGGAACUCCAUGUGUAGCGGUGAAAUGCGUAGAUAUAUGGAAGAACACCAGUGGCGAAGGCGGCUGUCUGGUCUGUAACUGACGCUGAGGCUCGAAAGUAUGGGUAGCAAACAGGAUUAGAUACCCUGGUAGUCCAUACCGUAAACGAUGAAUGCUAAGUGUUGGAGGGUUUCCGCCCUUCAGUGCUGCAGCUAACGCAUUAAGCAUUCCGCCUGGGGAGUACGGCCGCAAGGCUGAAACUCAAAGGAAUUGACGGGGGCCCGCACAAGCGGUGGAGCAUGUGGUUUAAUUCGAAGCUACGCGAAGAACCUUACCAGGUCUUGACAUACUAUGCAAAUCUAAGAGAUUAGACGUUCCCUUCGGGGACAUGGAUACAGGUGGUGCAUGGUUGUCGUCAGCUCGUGUCGUGAGAUGUUGGGUUAAGUCCCGCAACGAGCGCAACCCUUAUUAUCAGUUGCCAGCAUUAAGUUGGGCACUCUGGUGAGACUGCCGGUGACAAACCGGAGGAAGGUGGGGAUGACGUCAAAUCAUCAUGCCCCUUAUGACCUGGGCUACACACGUGCUACAAUGGAUGGUACAACGAGUUGCGAACUCGCGAGAGUAAGCUAAUCUCUUAAAGCCAUUCUCAGUUCGGAUUGUAGGCUGCAACUCGCCUACAUGAAGUCGGAAUCGCUAGUAAUCGCGGAUCAGCAUGCCGCGGUGAAUACGUUCCCGGGCCUUGUACACACCGCCCGUCACACCAUGAGAGUUUGUAACACCCAAAGUCGGUGGGGUAACCUUUUAGGAACCAGCCGCCUAAGGUGGGACAGAUGAUUAGGGUG